CUGGCGCGUGCUAUACAUGGCAAGUCGAGCGAAUGGAUUAAGAGCUUGCUCUUAUGAAGUUAGCGGCGGACGGGUGAGUAACACGUGGGUAACCUGCCCAUAAGACUGGGAUAACUCCGGGAAACCGGGGCUAAUACCGGAUAACAUUUUGAACCGCAUGGUUCGAAAUUGAAAGGCGGCUUCGGCUGUCACUUAUGGAUGGACCCGCGUCGCAUUAGCUAGUUGGUGAGGUAACGGCUCACCAAGGCAACGAUGCGUAGCCGACCUGAGAGGGUGAUCGGCCACACUGGGACUGAGACACGGCCCAGACUCGUACGGGAGGCAGCAGUAGGGAAUCUUCCGCAAUGGACGAAAGUCUGACGGAGCAACGCCGCGUGAGUGAUGAAGGCUUUCGGGUCGUAAAACUCUGUUGUUAGGGAAGAACAAGUGCUAGUUGAAUAAGCUGGCACCUUGACGGUACCUAACCAGAAAGCCACGGCUAACUACGUGCCAGCAGCCGCGGUAAUACGUAGGUGGCAAGCGUUAUCCGGAAUUAUUGGGCGUAAAGCGCGCGCAGGUGGUUUCUUAAGUCUGAUGUGAAAGCCCACGGCUCAACCGUGGAGGGUCAUUGGAAACUGGGAGACUUGAGUGCAGAAGAGGAAAGUGGAAUUCCAUGUGUAGCGGUGAAAUGCGUAGAGAUAUGGAGGAACACCAGUGGCGAAGGCGACUUUCUGGUCUGUAACUGACACUGAGGCGCGAAAGCGUGGGGAAGCAAACAGGAUUAGAUACCCUGGUAGUCCACGCCGUAAACGAUGAGUGCUAA
RNAcentral lists this ribosomal RNA (802 nucleotides) under Bacillus cereus. RNAcentral's name for it is "bacterial SSU rRNA". It matches the Rfam family "Bacterial small subunit ribosomal RNA", at positions 36 to 819 of the family's 1533-position model. Lineage: Bacteria; Bacillati; Bacillota; Bacilli; Caryophanales; Bacillaceae. The record is from RNAcentral.